Molecule: ribosomal RNA, 303 nt
Filed under: uncultured bacterium
Lineage: Bacteria
Description: partial 16S ribosomal RNA
Rfam family: Bacterial small subunit ribosomal RNA
Source: RNAcentral
AGCAGUCGCCGCGGGAAUACGGAGGAUCCAAGCGUUAUCCGGAAUCAUUGGGUUUAAAGGGUCCGUAGGCGGUCUUGUAAGUCAGUGGUGAAAGCCCAUCGCUCAACGGUGGAACGGCCAUUGAUACUGCAGGACUUGAAUUAUUGGGAAGUAACUAGAAUAUGUAGUGUAGCGGUGAAAUGCUUAGAGAUUACAUGGAAUACCAAUUGCGAAGGCAGGUCACUACCAAUUGAUUGACGCUGAUGGACGAAAGCGUGGGUAGCGAACAGGAUUAGAUACCCCCGUAGUCCCUGUCUCUUAUAC